This 2902-nucleotide ribosomal RNA is filed under the name Escherichia coli HVH 33 (4-2174936). Its description in RNAcentral is "bacterial LSU rRNA". It matches the Rfam family "Bacterial large subunit ribosomal RNA". Lineage: Bacteria; Pseudomonadati; Pseudomonadota; Gammaproteobacteria; Enterobacterales; Enterobacteriaceae. The record is from RNAcentral.
UUAAGCGACUAAGCGUACACGGUGGAUGCCCUGGCAGUCAGAGGCGAUGAAGGACGUGCUAAUCUGCGAUAAGCGUCGGUAAGGUGAUAUGAACCGUUAUAACCGGCGAUUUCCGAAUGGGGAAACCCAGUGUGUUUCGACACACUAUCAUUAACUGAAUCCAUAGGUUAAUGAGGCGAACCGGGGGAACUGAAACAUCUAAGUACCCCGAGGAAAAGAAAUCAACCGAGAUUCCCCCAGUAGCGGCGAGCGAACGGGGAGCAGCCCAGAGCCUGAAUCAGUGUGUGUGUUAGUGGAAGCGUCUGGAAAGGCGCGCGAUACAGGGUGACAGCCCCGUACACAAAAAUGCACAUACUGUGAGCUCGAUGAGUAGGGCGGGACACGUGGUAUCCUGUCUGAAUAUGGGGGGACCAUCCUCCAAGGCUAAAUACUCCUGACUGACCGAUAGUGAACCAGUACCGUGAGGGAAAGGCGAAAAGAACCCCGGCGAGGGGAGUGAAAAAGAACCUGAAACCGUGUACGUACAAGCAGUGGGAGCACGCUUAGGCGUGUGACUGCGUACCUUUUGUAUAAUGGGUCAGCGACUUAUAUUCUGUAGCAAGGUUAACCGAAUAGGGGAGCCGAAGGGAAACCGAGUCUUAACUGGGCGUUAAGUUGCAGGGUAUAGACCCGAAACCCGGUGAUCUAGCCAUGGGCAGGUUGAAGGUUGGGUAACACUAACUGGAGGACCGAACCGACUAAUGUUGAAAAAUUAGCGGAUGACUUGUGGCUGGGGGUGAAAGGCCAAUCAAACCGGGAGAUAGCUGGUUCUCCCCGAAAGCUAUUUAGGUAGCGCCUCGUGAAUUCAUCUCCGGGGGUAGAGCACUGUUUCGGCAAGGGGGUCAUCCCGACUUACCAACCCGAUGCAAACUGCGAAUACCGGAGAAUGUUAUCACGGGAGACACACGGCGGGUGCUAACGUCCGUCGUGAAGAGGGAAACAACCCAGACCGCCAGCUAAGGUCCCAAAGUCAUGGUUAAGUGGGAAACGAUGUGGGAAGGCCCAGACAGCCAGGAUGUUGGCUUAGAAGCAGCCAUCAUUUAAAGAAAGCGUAAUAGCUCACUGGUCGAGUCGGCCUGCGCGGAAGAUGUAACGGGGCUAAACCAUGCACCGAAGCUGCGGCAGCGACGCUUAUGCGUUGUUGGGUAGGGGAGCGUUCUGUAAGCCUGUGAAGGUGUGCUGUGAGGCAUGCUGGAGGUAUCAGAAGUGCGAAUGCUGACAUAAGUAACGAUAAAGCGGGUGAAAAGCCCGCUCGCCGGAAGACCAAGGGUUCCUGUCCAACGUUAAUCGGGGCAGGGUGAGUCGACCCCUAAGGCGAGGCCGAAAGGCGUAGUCGAUGGGAAACAGGUUAAUAUUCCUGUACUUGGUGUUACUGCGAAGGGGGGACGGAGAAGGCUAUGUUGGCCGGGCGACGGUUGUCCCGGUUUAAGCGUGUAGGCUGGUUUUCCAGGCAAAUCCGGAAAAUCAAGGCUGAGGCGUGAUGACGAGGCACUACGGUGCUGAAGCAACAAAUGCCCUGCUUCCAGGAAAAGCCUCUAAGCAUCAGGUAACAUCAAAUCGUACCCCAAACCGACACAGGUGGUCAGGUAGAGAAUACCAAGGCGCUUGAGAGAACUCGGGUGAAGGAACUAGGCAAAAUGGUGCCGUAACUUCGGGAGAAGGCACGCUGAUAUGUAGGUGAAGCGACUUGCUCGUGGAGCUGAAAUCAGUCGAAGAUACCAGCUGGCUGCAACUGUUUAUUAAAAACACAGCACUGUGCAAACACGAAAGUGGACGUAUACGGUGUGACGCCUGCCCGGUGCCGGAAGGUUAAUUGAUGGGGUCAGCGCAAGCGAAGCUCUUGAUCGAAGCCCCGGUAAACGGCGGCCGUAACUAUAACGGUCCUAAGGUAGCGAAAUUCCUUGUCGGGUAAGUUCCGACCUGCACGAAUGGCGUAAUGAUGGCCAGGCUGUCUCCACCCGAGACUCAGUGAAAUUGAACUCGCUGUGAAGAUGCAGUGUACCCGCGGCAAGACGGAAAGACCCCGUGAACCUUUACUAUAGCUUGACACUGAACAUUGAGCCUUGAUGUGUAGGAUAGGUGGGAGGCUUUGAAGUGUGGACGCCAGUCUGCAUGGAGCCGACCUUGAAAUACCACCCUUUAAUGUUUGAUGUUCUAACGUUGACCCGUAAUCCGGGUUGCGGACAGUGUCUGGUGGGUAGUUUGACUGGGGCGGUCUCCUCCUAAAGAGUAACGGAGGAGCACGAAGGUUGGCUAAUCCUGGUCGGACAUCAGGAGGUUAGUGCAAUGGCAUAAGCCAGCUUGACUGCGAGCGUGACGGCGCGAGCAGGUGCGAAAGCAGGUCAUAGUGAUCCGGUGGUUCUGAAUGGAAGGGCCAUCGCUCAACGGAUAAAAGGUACUCCGGGGAUAACAGGCUGAUACCGCCCAAGAGUUCAUAUCGACGGCGGUGUUUGGCACCUCGAUGUCGGCUCAUCACAUCCUGGGGCUGAAGUAGGUCCCAAGGGUAUGGCUGUUCGCCAUUUAAAGUGGUACGCGAGCUGGGUUUAGAACGUCGUGAGACAGUUCGGUCCCUAUCUGCCGUGGGCGCUGGAGAACUGAGGGGGGCUGCUCCUAGUACGAGAGGACCGGAGUGGACGCAUCACUGGUGUUCGGGUUGUCAUGCCAAUGGCACUGCCCGGUAGCUAAAUGCGGAAGAGAUAAGUGCUGAAAGCAUCUAAGCACGAAACUUGCCCCGAGAUGAGUUCUCCCUGACCCUUUAAGGGUCCUGAAGGAACGUUGAAGACGACGACGUUGAUAGGCCGGGUGUGUAAGCGCAGCGAUGCGUUGAGCUAACCGGUACUAAUGAACCGUGAGGCUUAACCUU